CCUACGGGAGGCAGCAGUGGGGAAUAUUGGGCAAUGGGCGCAAGCCUGACCCAGCAACGCCGCGUGAAGGAAGAAGGCUUUCGGGUUGUACACUUCUUUUAAGGGGGAAGAGCAGAAGACGGUACCCCUUGAAUAAGCCACGGCUAACUACGUGCCAGCAGCCGCGGUAAUACGUAGGUGGCAAGCGUUGUCCGGAUUUACUGGGUGUAAAGGGCGUGCAGCCGGAGAGACAAGUCAGAUGUGAAAUCCACGGGCUCAACCCAUGAACUGCAUUUGAAACUGUUUCCCUUGAGUGUCGGAGAGGUAAUCGGAAUUCCUUGUGUAGCGGUGAAAUGCGUAGAUAUAAGGAAGAACACCAGUGGCGAAGGUGGAUUACUGGACGAUAACUGACGGUGAGGCGCGAAAGCGUGGGGAGCAAACAGGAUUAGAUACCCCUGUAGUC
RNAcentral lists this ribosomal RNA (442 nucleotides) under uncultured bacterium. RNAcentral describes it as "partial 16S ribosomal RNA". It matches the Rfam family "Bacterial small subunit ribosomal RNA", at positions 338 to 795 of the family's 1533-position model. The record is from RNAcentral.